RNAcentral lists this ribosomal RNA (253 nucleotides) under uncultured bacterium. RNAcentral's name for it is "partial 16S ribosomal RNA". It matches the Rfam family "Bacterial small subunit ribosomal RNA", at positions 524 to 776 of the family's 1533-position model. The record is from RNAcentral.
UACAGAGGGGGCGAGCGUUGUUCGGAAUUACUGGGCGUAAAGGGCGCGUAGGCGGCCCGCUAAGUCGAACGUGAAAUCCCCAGGCUCAACCUGGGAACUGCGUCCGAUACUGGCAGGCUUGAAUCCGGGAGAGGGAUGUGGAAUUCCAGGUGUAGCGGUGAAAUGCGUAGAUAUCUGGAGGAACACCGGUGGCGAAGGCGGCUUCCUGGACCGACACUGACGCUGAGGCGCGAAAGCUAGGGGAGCAAACAGG